This 253-nucleotide ribosomal RNA is filed under the name uncultured bacterium. RNAcentral describes it as "partial 16S ribosomal RNA". It matches the Rfam family "Bacterial small subunit ribosomal RNA", at positions 524 to 776 of the family's 1533-position model. The record is from RNAcentral.
GACAGAGGUGCCGAGCGUUAGGCGGAAUCACUGGGCUUAAAGCGUGUGUAGGCGGAUCUGUAAGUACCUUGUGAAAUCCCACGGCUCAACCGUGGAACUGCUUGGUAUACUGGUUCUCUUGAGCCACCUAGGGGCAACCGGAACAAACGGUGGAGCGGUGAAAUGCGUAGAUAUCGUUUGGAACGCCAAUGGUGAAAACAGGUUGCUGGGGGUGUGCUGACGCUGAGACACGAAAGCCAGGGGAGCAAACGGG